AGCGAACGCUGGCGGCGUGCUUAACACAUGCCAGUCGAACGGUGAAGGCGGAGCUUGCUCUGCUGGAUCAGUGGCGAACGGGUGAGUAACACGUGAGCAAUCUGCCCCUGACUCUGGGAUAAGCGCUGGAAACGGCGUCUAAUACUGGAUACGAGCUGCGAAGGCAUCUUCAGCAGCUGGAAAGAACUUCGGUCAGGGAUGAGCUCGCGGCCUAUCAGCUUGUUGGUGAGGUAACGGCUCACCAAGGCGUCGACGGGUAGCCGGCCUGAGAGGGUGACCGGCCACACUGGGACUGAGACACGGCCCAGACUCCUACGGGAGGCAGCAGUGGGGAAUAUUGCACAAUGGGCGAAAGCCUGAUGCAGCAACGCCGCGUGAGGGACGACGGCCUUCGGGUUGUAAACCUCUUUUAGCAGGGAAGAAGCGAAAGUGACGGUACCUGCAGAAAAAGCGCCGGCUAACUACGUG
Molecule: ribosomal RNA, 468 nt
Filed under: uncultured bacterium
Lineage: Bacteria
Description: partial 16S ribosomal RNA
Rfam family: Bacterial small subunit ribosomal RNA
Source: RNAcentral